CCCUUAGAUGUUCUGGGCAGCACGCGCGCUACAAUGGUCUUCGCAAACGGAUGCAUUCUCGAAGGAGAAUGCCAAUCUUGGAAUCUAUGCCUUGGUCGGGACAGUUGCUUGCAAUUUUUCGACUCGAACCUGGAAUUCCUUGUAAUCGUGAUUCAUCACAUCACGAUGAAUACGUCCCUGCCCUUUGUACACACCGCCCGUCACUCCUACCGAUCGAAGAGUUAGGUGAAUUGUUUUGAUCGAUAAGAUUUGACUAUGGUCAACUCUCGUUGUGAAAUUCUGUGAAUCUGACUGUUUAGAGGAAGGAAAAGUCGUAACA
Molecule: ribosomal RNA, 319 nt
Filed under: uncultured eukaryote
Lineage: Eukaryota
Description: partial 18S ribosomal RNA
Rfam family: Eukaryotic small subunit ribosomal RNA
Source: RNAcentral